RNAcentral lists this ribosomal RNA (529 nucleotides) under uncultured bacterium. RNAcentral describes it as "bacterial LSU rRNA". It matches the Rfam family "Bacterial large subunit ribosomal RNA", at positions 21 to 561 of the family's 2925-position model. The record is from RNAcentral.
AUGGUGAAUGCCUUGGGCUCUUCAAUGUCGAUGAAGGACGUGAUUACCUGCGAUAAGCUUCGGGUAGGUGGAAAUAACCUUUGAUCCGGAGAUCUCCGAAUAGGGAAACCUUUAGUAUUGAAGAUACUAAAUCAUAAUGAAGAUAACCCAGAGAACUGAAACAUCUAAGUACCUGGAGGAAAAGAAAACAACAGUGAUUCCCCAAGUAGUGGCGAGCGAACGGGGAACAGCCCAAAACCAAGUAAUGUUAAGGCAUUCUUGGGGUUGUAGGACUGCAACGUGGACUUUUUAAUUGGAAAUGGAAGCUGUCUGGAAAGCAGCAUCAUAGAAGGUGAUAAUCCUGUACAUGAAUCCAAUUAGAUACCUAGCAGUAUCCUGAGUACCGCGGGGUCGGAGACGCCCUGCGGGAAUCCACCGGCACCAUCCGGUAAGGCUAAAAUACAAUUGAGAGACCGAUAGUGAACAAGUACUGUGAAGGAAAGGUGAAAAAGACCGCGAACAGCGGAGUGAAAUAGACCUGAAACCAUGU